GUGUCAGCAGCCGCGGUAAGACGAACCGUGCGAACGUUGUUCGGAUUCACUGGGCUUAAAGGGCGCGUAGGCGGGUGGUCAAGUCAGAGGUGAAAUCCUCCAGCUUAACUGGAGAAGUGCCCCUGAUACUGGCCAUCUCGAGGGAGGUAGGGGCAUGUGGAACUUCCGGUGGAGCGGUGAAAUGCGUAGAUAUCGGAAGGAACGCCGGUGGCGAAAGCGACGUGCUGGACCUCUUCUGACGCUGAGGCGCGAAAGCCAGGGGAGCAAACGGGAUUAGAUACCCCAGUAGUCC
Molecule: ribosomal RNA, 292 nt
Filed under: uncultured bacterium
Lineage: Bacteria
Description: partial 16S ribosomal RNA
Rfam family: Bacterial small subunit ribosomal RNA
Source: RNAcentral